GAUCCAGCAAUGCCGCGUGAGUGAUGAAGGCCUUAGGGUUGUAAAGCUCUUUCGCCCGCGACGAUGAUGACGGUAGCGGGAGAAGAAGCCCCGGCUAACUCCGUGCCAGCAGCCGCGGUAAUACGGAGGGGGCUAGCGUUGUUCGGAAUUACUGGGCGUAAAGGGCGCGCAGGCGGCUGCUCAAGUCAGGCGUGAAAGGCCUGGGCUCAACCCGGGAAUUGCGCUUGAGACUGGGCUGGCUUGAGUGCGGGAGAGGAUGGUGGAAUUCCCAGUGUAGAGGUGAAAUUCGUAGAUAUUGGGAAGAACACCGGUGGCGAAGGCGGCCAUCUGGACCGUAACUGACGCUGAGGCGCGAAAGGCUGGGGAGCAAACAGGAUUAGAUACCCUGGUAGUCCACGCCGUAAACGAUGAGUGCUAGACGUUGGGAGGCCUAGCCUUCCGGUGUCGCAGCUAACGCAUUAAGCACUCCGCCUGGGGGAGUACGGCCGCAAGGUU
Molecule: ribosomal RNA, 495 nt
Filed under: uncultured bacterium
Lineage: Bacteria
Description: bacterial SSU rRNA
Rfam family: Bacterial small subunit ribosomal RNA
Source: RNAcentral